CACGACAUACGACGGCAUCUCUAUGCACUAGCCAAACAAUACGUUAGUAGCAAUUCACAGAGACAUACAAGUUCAUUAAAGUUUAAUAUUACAACUAUAACAGCACGAUUCAUGGUCCUACUAAUAAAUAGCAUCGAUUACAUAUAAGUUGAAUGACUGUCCAAACCAAAGAGACAUACAAGUUCUUUAAAGUUUAAUAUUACAACAUGAAUUAGUAGCAAUUCACGGAGCGUGGAUGAAGCCACCGUCUUUCGUGAUGGUCAUGAAAUCGCGGUCGUUGUCAGCCUGCAUUUGUAGCGUUGUUUCUAUCUCACUAUUGGACGGUUGAAAUCUGAGGUAGAACUGCCCCGAGGUACGAAGGACAUCUUGAUUGAUGAUUUACGCAAACUCUAACUGGAUGCGAAAGAAUUCUUGACUGAUGUCCGCGUCCUGGAUUGCCGACAAGCGUGCGGCCCAAUCUUUGAGAUUAUUUGGUAGCCGAAGGUGAUUAUGGUCCCGUAUGAUCGCCCGGAUGUGAUGGAGGGCGUAGUAGGCAUACUUCUGACCGCCAGGCGGCUGCUUGACGCAGGGGAACGUCGUAUUGUGGGUGAACACGUGUUGGCCGUACCUACGAAUUGUCCUGCUGAAGGUGCCUCCAUAUCUAGCGUAGCCGGGAAGAGCUUCAUCAAGAACUUUCUUGAUAUUUGUGUAGCCUUUUUUCGACUGACGGUCCGAGUCGAAAUACGUGGUCAUGGAAUAUUUCGGGCUUAAGAGGAUGAGUGUGCAAUGUGUGUCACUACACAAAACACGGAAUGUUAUAAAAAAAAGAACGAUCGAAAUCUAAGAAAUCAUAUGUCACGGGGCGGUGAGGGGAUAACUUACUCGGGAAAGUUAUCCUUAUCUGGGUUUGCUAGAAUGACGCCUUCGAGGAAGUUAUCCUUAUCUGGGUUUGCCAGAAUGACGCCUUCGAGGUAUGAACUCGCGACUUGUCGGUCCCCAGCGCAGCCCAAGAUCUUGGCACGCAUAUAGAAGGGGUCGACUAUCACGAUGUCCGGGGGUCUUGUCUCUAAUGAUCCGCAUCUCCAUACUCAGCGAAAAUAGCCGAAUGAAGGUGUAGUGCAGCGGAUGAAGGUUAAACAUAGCGAAGAUGUCAGCAAACCGCAGGACGAUCAUACCCCCGAUGGCGCUAUCGACAAAGCUCUUGCCCUCUGGCACCUUGGCCACGAAAACCGGGUAUGCCACAUCAUUCUCGGAGAGACGCCGCUUCUCCAAAGAAAGAACAAUGUCAUGCAGACUCCGCAUAGCACCGGUUGUAGCAUUGAGCAGAUUAGUCGGUAGCAUCGGCCUACCAGCCAAAUGCACCCUCCUCGAGAUAUCCUUAGGUGAAGGUGGCCCGUCCGGAGCACGGAUCGUACUCGGUGCCGGCUGGCUCGCACCCUUGUUAGUCUUUCUUUUCCGUCCCUUCUUUUUCUGCUACUGUAAUGGGAUCGAGUUCUGCUCAGAGACCACCUUCUUGGGUGUGUUGGGGCUGAUAAUAUUUCGCACCUCGGCUAUCUAAGGCUCGGUGAAGGCGGCAGCUGGAGGCGUCUCCUGAGAACUAAACGCCAGACGACGCCUGUUGCAAUUGGGUUGCUCCGCGGUACUAGCUAGAUCGCGGUCGUCUUUUGCAGGGUUGAGUUCUUGAGAAGGAGGCCCCAAGAACUCCUCAUCGUACCCAUGUUCGGCAAAGUACUUAUCGAACUUGGUAAAUGUAUCGUCGUCGUCGUCGUCGUCCGGAUCCUGUGCCAUAUGCAUUUCCGGAUCCUGUGCCAUAUGCAUGUCCGGCAUGUCCGGUAGCGUUGCGGCGGUCUUGCCAUGGCUUGGCGCCGGCACCACUGGCGGUGUUGUCUGUGGGGUGGUGUCCCCUGCCCCCAAAUGAAUCUGGCUCUUCGGCCAAAGCAGGGGCCAGCUUAAGCAGGCGCUAAGAGUCAUCACAUCAUCUUCGUCGGCCCCAGCGGGUCGGAACGGAGGUAACAAGUCGUCGCAGCCUGGCAGCACCCGAACCAGUUGAACCCUAUACACGGUGGGUGGCAUCGGAUUACCGUGGAACACGGGGUUGCCCGGUUGAACGAUUCUGCCCUUGGCGACAUCGAUCAACUCGCCACCCACGAAGUGCAGGAGAGUGCAUGGAACGUCGGCGCCGGCGCCCUGCGAAAACAUGUAGGGCGUCAGGGGAUGCCCAGUCAAAGGCAAGGAGAUGAAGUCAUCGGCCGAGAGAGGCUUAGUUACCAUGAUGGCGUCGAGCUCGGCUAAUGUCGAGGCACCGGCAACGGCGGGCGUGCAAGUGACGGAGGGGCCUCUUGCUACCGAGGUGCCGGCCGGCGGAUUCUUUGCACACCCGGGUGCAUUAAUAAGCUCCAAUGCCCGUGCCGGCGUCGGAGACACCAAUGGCACCGGCGUCGGAGACACCAAUGGCACCGCCUGCGCAUUGUGCGAGUUGCUGGUCGUGAAGCUGGGAACCGGGGGCGACCCCUGUUGGCCGCCCGCAAUCCACGCCUGCAGCCCCUUAAUCAAGGUAGGCACAAUGACGGUGAUCACCCCUCCCAGUUGGUGUUGCACUUGCUCUUGGACCAUCUCCGGAAUCCGCACCACUUGUGCCCUGAGAUCUUGAACCUCGCGCGACUGGCUUUGUAAGUUGGUCUUUCUCUCCUUUCGCCCACCAACGUUAUAGUAUGACGACCAUUUCAUGGACAAGCCUUUGCCGGCCACACGACCAGCUGACGACGGCUUACUGGACUUAUCCUUGUUUUUCAUUACGUUCAACGCCCUAUUCAAAGUGUUGUCCCAAGGGGAGCUCUGAGAUGAUCCCGCGCUACUCCUUUCAGUACCUGUGGAAGGAAUGUGAACCAUUUAGAAAUUUGGCUUCAUUAAUUAGGAUGCAACCAUAUGGAGCUAAUUACGCGGGGGUGUAUUCCGUACCAGAACAAGCUCAAGCGCCCUGGUCUUCGCAUCCACGGUAAGCUCCUUUGUUACCAGGUCCACCUUGUACCGGGCCUUGACAUAGUUCCUGGUCAGCUUGUCACCGUAUUUCUCGAAGCGGGGUGGUAGGCCUUGCUCGGCACGCUCCGCGUCCUCCUUGUCCUAUAUAGGUUCCACCACUGUGUGACCGCCGGGACCGAGUUGGUGGACCCCUAAGUUCAACUCCCGCAUUUAUUUCCCCCACUGACUUGAUUCCACGGUUGUGUUGCUCUCGCACUUGAUCUUGAACUCCUUGUAGUCAUCUUCGCUGAUCGAAGGAUUUUUCGCCUUGAUCUUCUCAUAACUAUCACAUUUGUCAAUCAUUCUCUUCACCACGCUUCUGCAAGUGGACAGGGCCGUGCUCAUCUUCCUGAGGGCGGCAUUGUUCAUUGUAUUCCCUGAGAGGCGUGUGUUUGCGACGUCACCGGGGAACUUGUCUCGUUCGUGCAGCUUCGUGAAGAGGAGGUUGCGCAAAUUCCCUCGGUCCUUAUGCCUUAGGUUCUAGGUGUUGAUCGAUACGGUGCUCCGGAGAAUGCACCCGAGCUGAAGCGCGUACCCCUUGACUAUUUCUUUGGGCGCCGUUGGAUACCCGUCGGAGUUCACUUCAGUAAAUUCCUCCUUGACGGUGUCGAGCACGUUCGGGCGCCGUUCCUUCAGUUGCCUCUUCGAUUGGCUGCCAUUUGUGCGUGCGCUGCCAUCAUCAGUGGUGGCAUCCUCGGCGGCACCAUCAGUGGUGUCAUCCCUGACGCCACUAGGGGUUGUGUAGUCGGGAUCGGUGUCUUCCGCGGCGUCGUCAUAGCGGUUAGGUUCUUCCUCCAUCUCCUGGGACAGCUCCCAGAAUGCCUUGCCCGAACCGUCGGCCUCAUCGUUUUGGGCCAUGUUUCGCUCUAAAUAGGAAAAAAGUUUGGUCAAAAAGUUGGUUAUUGUCAAGGAACAAGAUCAUGGUCUCAUCAUUUAGGGUUUGUCGACACCGAGGCAUCCUAAAAGCUAAGCUUUUAUCAUUUAGGGUUUGUCGAUGCCGAGGCACCCUAAAAGCCUAAGCUUUCAUCAUUUAGGUUUUUAUCGACACCGAGGCACCCUAAAAGCCAAGGUUUUAUAAUUUAGGGUUUGUCGACGCUAAGGCACCCUAAAUGCUAAGUUAAGUUUUCAUCAUUUAGGGUUUAUCGAUGCCGAGGCACCCUAGGUUGACUGAUAUAUAUGGGUAUCUUCUAAUAAUAUACCCUAUCAAGAAAAGGGAAGGAGAAUUCUAAGUUGGGCCUAAUCACUUAGCUCUAUUGCCACCUAUGGUUUAAUGCACCAAGAAUAAAGGGGCAGUUGAUCCUACUUAAUUAAGUACUAAGAUACCCCGGCCCAUGCAUUAGUCGCAAGUACCCCAUAUGUCCUAUUUUUAGCAAAGUAAUGCUAAAAUUCACGGAAAAUUUCAGCUUGACCUUUGCUGAAAAUAGGACAUAUGGAGUACCCAAAUUUGCCGGAACAGAAGUUAAUCGACAUUCCGGCAAACUCAAGGGUCUCUCGGGGUACGUGCAAAAUCAUCACGACACGAUGGUCGGAGACAAAACCCAGCAAACUAGCACCACAAUGUGCCUCUACUUUCAUAUGGAUGAAAAGGCCACAGACCAUAUGGUCCUCUGCUUUCAUAUGGACAAAAAUCAGCUCAACUUAUGUGAGCUUCCAUUCCAGAUCUAAUAGGUCACCCAACAAAAAAUCAUCAAUAGUUUAGCAAGUCUGUACCCUCAAGAAUGAACAUAUAGCAAUAUCUAUUGUCCCCCCAUAACAUACGAAAAUCAAAAUCAGCUCAACUUAGAUGACAAUGUAUAUACUUUAUCACAUUAUAUAGAUGGUGCAACAACGUAUAUACUUUAUCACAUUAUAAGUCCUCACACCAUUAACUAUGACAAAAUCUGAAAGUAUAAGUCUGGUUACAUUCACCCAAGUCCAAACAUAAAAUUCUGUCCAACAUAGUACAACCCACUUUGAUAAUUUCAUAGGAUUUAAUAUACCGAACGAAACCUGACAAGUGAUAUGUGUUUCAAGUAUCAACAGAACAGCCUCUAAAAUUUUCAUGUUGUAACUUUAUUUUAAUACCACCUCUAACAGGGCCUUAUCUCCCAUAUCGAAAUACGGUACCCAGGAACAUAUAUUUCGGCACAGCAAACUAAACUGAUAGCUGCUCUCAAACCGUACAUCCAAACGACACAAAUAAAUACUCUAAAGAAACCUUGAAACUUUAUCUAAAACUUAUGUAAAGGGGCCAACUCAAAAUUCUGAGCCUAGCUAACUCAUUUUUCAGAUAUAAGCUUGCUUAUUUUCCAUUGCACCUGAAGAACUAGCUGUUGUUGCUCGUGUGCCCGUGCUGCUGAUGCUCCUCUUGUGCUGAUCCAAGUGGCUGUGUUGUGCUGCUGCUGAUUAGAACAAUUUUGCUCCUCUGCACUCUGAAGAAGGUACUCUGUCAGAGUAUUGUACCUGAAAAUUAAUGAAGUUUAUUCAGUGUUAACUGAAUCAUGACAAUGCCAAUAAAGGAGUCAAUUCAGUUGUUAACUUAAAAUUCAUGAAGUACAUUCAUUUUAAUACAAAAACUGUUGCUGAUCGUUGUGAACAAAAAUCAUGGAUUGAUGUUAACUCAAAAGUAGUGAAAGAAAUUGUUGCUGAUCAUGGAUUACUGUUAAGUAAAAUAGAGCAUCUCGCUUGUCUUAUCAUGUUGAGUAAAAUGAAUGACACUGUGUUGCGCUGCUGCUUGACUUAUCAAUUAGUGUGAACUCUGAAAUAGCAUGAAUAUUUGAAACGACAUGCCUCUAAAUGACACUUGAGUAAAAUGAAUACUUGCAGGUUCAUCCAACGUAUUGCUACACUAAUAGUAAAACGAAUACCUGCAGGUUAGUGUUAGUACUCCAAAACUUGAGUCUCAUGAAUGAUGAGUCUCAUUUACUGAAUUUACUCCAACACUAAGUCCACAAAAAUGAAUCGGUUCAGUAAACUUGAAGUACUCAACACUGAACAUGGUUCAGAGCUCACUACACUACACUACAUCGCGCAAUGGUUCAGACCUCACUAAACUAGAACAAGCUCACUACACUACACUACACUACACUACACAUGCUUAAACUCUGAACAUAAACAAACACCAGUAAUGCCAGACCAAGACUUUGCUCGAAAAUUCUAAGAAGUAUUUAUGAGUUUUAGCUGACCUGAGGAACUCUGCAAGAAUGGUUAGGUACCCCUGAUAAAUGCAGUAAAAAAGAAGGCAAUGCAAUUAGACAUGUCUUGAUGAAGCCAUUUACAGCAGCGUUCAACUGAACAUACAACUGAACAUAAAUGCAGUAAAACAGAAGGCAAUGUAGUUACUUCCUAUUACUUCCUACUAGUUCGAAUUCGUGGCACUCACCCUUCUAGACAAUAUAUAAACUACCUCUGUUUCUAGGCAACAAGAGUUAUCAUCAGUUUAGUUUUUGGUCGUGGUAACAAAGAAAACAGAGCUUGAGUGCUUGACAACACAAUAACAAAAGUUAUCAUCUGUUCAGUUUAGUUUUCUUCAUUCGCUUGUGUGUGUGUGUGUGCACCCAUUGUUGGUUCGUUCAUGCUCUGAAACUGAAAACUAAAUCUGGUAGUUUGAAAACUGAAAACAGAGCUAUGCUGAUGAACAUGAACCAACUCCAAAAUUAAGCUAGUUUGGAGCACCAGACACCAGGGGAGCAAGCUCAGUCGAGAGGGAUGGGCCAUGGAGUUGAUCAGGUGGGAUAAAGUUCCAUCACAUAGUAACAAGCUCAGGAGAGCGUAAGCAAGUCAUUUUUUUUAACUGAAACCAAGUGUCUUAGUACAAACUACUGAUCAACAGCACAAACCUAAGAAUCUAACAGGAGGAGAUCGAAGCAGUGAGGGAGCGAGGGGACGGUGCCGUACCUCGCGGGAUGGAUUCGGUCGCGGCUUGAACUCGGUUGUGGAUCCAGGCGAGGAGAAGGGAGGUGGGAGCUCUGGCGCCGGUGCCGCGAGACGGUCGGCAUGCAGUGGAUUAUUUUUUCCCUCGGCGUCGUCGAUCUGGACCUGGAAGAGGAUGGAUUAACCAAGGUAAGCGCAAAAAUCUCUGCAUAGGGCAAGGGGCGAAGGCGCCGGCGGCUUCAUACAAGGAGAUCGAAGGCGAAGCACGUAGGGCAAGGGGUGGUCGUAGUCGUACAUGUACCUGGCUAGCACAUAAUGGAUCUGUCGCGGAGGAACCCAGCACCUGGCCCGGUGAGGAGAAGCUCAGGCGUCGGCGACGCGUGCACCGCGAGACAAGGGCAGCAGUGGAGUGAGAACUGAGAAGCAAGAUGGGAGGCGCGGGGGCGCAGCGGCGGUCAGUGGGCGGGUGAGAGAUGGAUUGGGGAAGAUAGAAAGGGGACUGGGGAUUUUAGUUGGGG
RNAcentral lists this long non-coding RNA (7367 nucleotides) under Hordeum vulgare. RNAcentral describes it as "long non-coding RNA (HVUL_LNC009245)". Lineage: Eukaryota; Viridiplantae; Streptophyta; Magnoliopsida; Poales; Poaceae. The record is from RNAcentral.